CGCAACGAGUCUUCCCUUGAUUGAAAAAUCCGGGUAAUCUUGUAAAUGUGUGUCGUGAUAGGGAUAGAUUAUUGCAAUUAUUAAUCUUGAACGAGGAAUUCCUAGUAAAUGCGAGUCAUCAGCUCGCGUUGAUUACGUCCCUGCCCUUUGUACACACCGCCCGUCGCACCUACCGAUUGAAUGAUUCGGUGAAAAUUCCGGACUGUGGCUCGAUAACCGCGAGGUCGCCUUGCUGUAGGAAGUUAUUUAAACCUCAUCAUUUAGAGGAAGGUGAAGUCGUAACAAGGUUUCCGUAGGUGAACCUGCGGAAGGAUCA
This 316-nucleotide ribosomal RNA is filed under the name Mallomonas sp. RNAcentral describes it as "SSU rRNA". It matches the Rfam family "Eukaryotic small subunit ribosomal RNA", at positions 1511 to 1828 of the family's 1831-position model. Lineage: Eukaryota; Synurophyceae; Synurales; Mallomonadaceae. The record is from RNAcentral.